CAGUAGCCGCGGUAAUACGAAGGGGGCUAGCGUUGCUCGGAAUCACUGGGCGUAAAGGGUGCGUAGGCGGGUCUUUAAGUCAGGGGUGAAAUCCUGGAGCUCAACUCCAGAACUGCCUUUGAUACUGAAGAUCUUGAGUUCGGGAGAGGUGAGUGGAACUGCGAGUGUAGAGGUGAAAUUCGUAGAUAUUCGCAAGAACACCUGUGGCGAAGGCGGCUCACUGGCCCGAUACUGACGCUGAGGCACGGAAGCGUGGGGAGCAAACAGGAUUAGAUACCCGUGUAGUCCCUGUCUCUUAUAC
Molecule: ribosomal RNA, 301 nt
Filed under: uncultured bacterium
Lineage: Bacteria
Description: partial 16S ribosomal RNA
Rfam family: Bacterial small subunit ribosomal RNA
Source: RNAcentral